CACCUGAAUACAUAGGGUGUGUAGAGGCAGACCAGGGGAACUGAAACAUCUAAGUACCCUGAGGAAGAGAAAACAAUAGUGAUUCCGUCAGUAGCGGCGAGCGAACGCGGAUUAGCCCAAACCAAGGAGCUUGCUCCUUGGGGUUGUGGGACGUCUCACAUGGAGUUACAAAGGAUUAGAGUAGGCGAAGAGGUCUGGAAAGGCCCGCUAGAAGAGGUAAAAGCCCUGUAGCCAAAAUUUUAAUCCCUCCGAGACGGAUCCCGAGUAGUGCGGGGCACGUGAAACCCCGUAUGAAUCCGGCAGGACCAUCUGCCAAGGCUAAAUACUCCCUAGUGACCGAUAGUGAAGCAGUACCGUGAGGGAAAGGUGAAAAGCACCCCGGAAGGGGAGUGAAAUAGAUCCUGAAACCGUGUGCUUACAAAAAGUCAGAGCCCUCUAUAUGGGUGAUGGCGUGCCUUUUGUAGAAUGAACCGGCGAGUUACGUUCCCGUGCAAGGUUAAGGUGAGAAGCCGGAGCCGCAGCGAAAGCGAGUCUGAAUAGGGCGAAUUAUAGUACGUGGACGUAGACCCGAAACUGAGUGAUCUACCCCUGUCCAGGGUGAAGGUGCGGUAACACGCACUGGAGGCCCGAACCCACGCAUGUUGAAAAAUGCGGGGAUGAGGUGGGGGUAGCGGAGAAAUUCCAAUCGAACUCAGAGAUAGCUGGUUCUCCCCGAAAUAGCUUUAGGGCUAGCCUCGGAAUUGAGAGUCGUGGAGGUAGAGCACUGAUUGGGUGCGGGGCCCGCCAAGGGUUACCAAGCUCAGUCAAACUCCGAAUGCCAUAGACUCAUAUCCGGGAGUCAGACAGUGAGUGCUAAGAUCCAUUGUCAAAAGGGAAACAGCCCAGACCAUCAGCUAAGGUCCCCAAGUGUGUGUUAAGUGGGAAAGGAUGUGGAGUUGCACAGACAACCAGGAUGUUGGCUUAGAAGCAGCCACCAUUUAAAGAGUGCGUAAUAGCUCACUGGUCGAGUGACUCUGCGCCGAAAAUGUAACGGGGCUAAACACACCACCGAAGCUAUGGCUUGAUACGUAUGUAUCAGGGGUAGGGGAGCGUUGUAUAUACGUUGAAGGUAUACCGUAAGGAGUGCUGGAGAGUAUACAAGUGAGAAUGCCGGUAUAAGUAACGAAAAGAUCAGUGAGAAUCUGAUCCGCCGAAAGCCUAAGGGUUCCUGAGGAAGGCUCGUCCACUCAGGGUAAGUCGGGACCUAAGGCGAGGCCGAAAGGCGUAGUCGAAGGACAACAGGUAGAAAUUCCUGUACCACCGUAAUCCGUUAUGAGUAAUGGGGUGACGCAGUAGGGUAGUGACGCGGACUGAUGGAUGUGUCCGUCUAAGCAGUGAGGCUUGUGUGUAGGCAAAUCCGCACACUAUAAGGCUGGGCUGUGAUGGGGAGCGAAAAUUUAUAGUAGCGAAGGUCAUGAUCUCAGACUGCCAAGAAAAGCCUCUAACCAGGAGAAGGUGCCCGUACCGCAAACCGACACAGGUAGGCGAGAAGAGAAUUCUAAGGCGCGCGGAAGAACUCUCGUUAAGGAACUCGGCAAAAUGACCCCGUAACUUCGGGAGAAGGGGUGCCCCGGUAGUGUGAAUAGCACGAGGGGGCCGCAGUGAAAAGGCCCAAGCGACUGUUUAGCAAAAACACAGGUCUGUGCGAAGCCGUAAGGCGAAGUAUACGGGCUGACGCCUGCCCGGUGCUGGAAGGUUAAGGGGAGUGGUUAGCCGCAAGGCGAAGCUAUGAACCGAAGCCCCAGUAAACGGCGGCCGUAACUAUAACGGUCCUAAGGUAGCGAAAUUCCUUGUCAGGUAAAUUCUGACCCGCACGAAUGGCGUAACGACUUGGGCGCUGUCUCAACGAGAGAUCCGGUGAAAUUUUAAUACCUGUGAAGAUGCAGGUUACCCGCGACAAGACGGAAAGACCCCAUGGAGCUUUACUGCAGCUUGAUAUUGGACUUUGAUACGAUUUGUACAGGAUAGGUGGGAGCCUA
This 2018-nucleotide ribosomal RNA is filed under the name Paenibacillus anaericanus. Its description in RNAcentral is "23S ribosomal RNA". It matches the Rfam family "Bacterial large subunit ribosomal RNA", at positions 155 to 2157 of the family's 2925-position model. The record is from RNAcentral. Lineage: Bacteria; Bacillati; Bacillota; Bacilli; Caryophanales; Paenibacillaceae.